GAUGAACGCUGGCGGCGUGCCUAAUACAUGCAAGUCGAGCGAACAGACGAGAGUGCUUGCACUCUCUGACGUUAGCGGCGGACGGGUGAGUAACACGUGGGUAACCUACCUAUAAGACUGGGAUAACUUCGGGAAACCGGAGCUAAUACCGGAUAAUAUUUAGCUUCGCAUGAAGCAAUAGUGAAAGACGGUUCUGCUGUCACUUAUAGAUGGACCCGCGGUGUAUUAGCUAGUUGGUGAGGUAACGGCUCACCAAGGCAACGAUACAUAGCCGACCUGAGAGGGUGAUCGGCCACACUGGGACUGAGACACGGCCCAGACUCCUACGGGAGGCAGCAGUAGGGAAUCUUCCGCAAUGGACGAAAGCCUGACGGAGCAAUGCCGCGUGAGUGAAGAAGGUUUUCGGAUCGUAAAACUCUGUUGUAAGGGAAGAACAAGUACGUUAGUAACUGAACGUACCUUGACGGUACCUUACCAGAAAGCCACGGCUAACUACGUG
This 499-nucleotide ribosomal RNA is filed under the name uncultured bacterium. RNAcentral's name for it is "partial 16S ribosomal RNA". It matches the Rfam family "Bacterial small subunit ribosomal RNA", at positions 28 to 507 of the family's 1533-position model. The record is from RNAcentral.